This 874-nucleotide long non-coding RNA is filed under the name Rattus norvegicus (Norway rat). RNAcentral describes it as "long non-coding RNA NONRATT017961". The record is from RNAcentral. Lineage: Eukaryota; Metazoa; Chordata; Mammalia; Rodentia; Muridae.
GUUGAAAUGCAGUUUCUCAGACCCUGUGGUCACCCAAAGGCAUGGAGAUGGGCUGAGAGAAGCAGGCAGCCUGCAGCCCAGCCUACUCUACUUUGCCUCCUGCCCCCAUGACUUCUUUGGCUCCUUCCUGGAAAAGAUAUAAAGAACUGUGAAGAAAACUGAGAAAUGGGGCUGGAGAAGCUUCCCAGCUUCCAUAGAAGGCUCACAGACUACCAGUGCCAGGAUGAUUGGGUGUGUUCUGGCCUCUGAGGGCAGAGGGCUCGGCACACACAUGGUGCACAGACAUAGAUGCAAGCAAAACACCCGUACACAUGAAGUUACAUUUAAGUGGGGUUUAUGUGAGCAUUCAGUUCCUCAGCUCCAGCAGGGUGACACUCCUAACAUAGCAUGGCCCCACGGCGUGUGUGGGUUCACUGCACACCCCAGAGCACUUGGGCCAGCUUCCCCGCAGACAGCAGCCCUGUCCCCUGUGCUCUGGACUGGCCCGACAGUUGCCAUCUCAUCUGUCCCCUUGACAAGGACAGCAGUGGUUCUGUACAGCACCCUUUCCUGAUGCCAGGCCCGGGGAUACCAGGGAGAUAGAUGACACAGUAGAAAGGCUGCUGAGGCUGUGCCAGACGACCAGAGGAGGGACGGCCUUCAAACCCAGUGCUCGGGAGGAUUCCAUGGGGAAUCUUAAAGAGCCCUGCUCUGGCAAGUGUCUCAGCCUGGGGACAGAAUGUGGAUACUGUUCUCUGGUAAGAAAUACCUCAGGGACCACUCAGAGCUGGGACACUUGGCCCAAGUUCUUCCAAGUUGUGCCCAAGGUGUGCCAGGAGGCAUAGGCUUUUUUUGUUCUCUUAAUUAAAAUGGAAUUUGCAUAAUAUAAACUGAA